UACAGAGGGUGCGAGCGUUGUUCGGAAUUAUUGGGCGUAAAGAGCUCGUAGGCGGUUCGUCGCGUCGGCUGUGAAAUCCCGAGGCUCAACCUCGGGUCUGCAGUCGAUACGGGCGGACUGGAGUUCGGCAGGGGAGACUGGAAUUCCUGGUGUAGCGGUGAAAUGCGCAGAUAUCAGGAGGAACACCGGUGGCGAAGGCGGGUCUCUGGGCCGAUACUGACGCUGAGGAGCGAAAGCGUGGGGAGCGAACAGG
Molecule: ribosomal RNA, 253 nt
Filed under: uncultured bacterium
Lineage: Bacteria
Description: partial 16S ribosomal RNA
Rfam family: Bacterial small subunit ribosomal RNA
Source: RNAcentral